UCCCUGGGAGUCCAGAGGUUAGGACUGAGCACUUUCAAUGCUGAAUGCCUAGUUCAAUCCUUGGUUGAGGAA
Bos taurus (domestic cattle) is the source of this 72-nucleotide non-coding RNA. The record is from Rfam. NCBI's taxonomy places the organism in Eukaryota, Metazoa, Chordata, Mammalia, Artiodactyla, Bovidae.